AGGGAUAUAGCUCAGUGGCACAAGUAUCUGCCUGGCAAGUGCAGGGUUCUGAGUUUGAUUCUUGGUAACCCUU
RNAcentral lists this transfer RNA (73 nucleotides) under Cavia porcellus (domestic guinea pig). It matches the Rfam family "tRNA". From Rfam's summary of the family: Transfer RNA (tRNA) molecules are approximately 80 nucleotides in length. Their secondary structure includes four short double-helical elements and three loops (D, anti-codon, and T loops). The record is from Rfam by way of RNAcentral. Lineage: Eukaryota; Metazoa; Chordata; Mammalia; Rodentia; Caviidae.